GAGUGAUUCCAUACUUUUUUCCUCUACUUGAUUUGGAAAAUGACAUGCCAUUAAUAAAAAAAAAAAAAAGUC
Molecule: non-coding RNA, 72 nt
Organism: Pangasianodon gigas (Mekong giant catfish)
Lineage: Eukaryota; Metazoa; Chordata; Actinopteri; Siluriformes; Pangasiidae
Source: the annotation of a GenBank genome assembly